RNAcentral lists this ribosomal RNA (465 nucleotides) under uncultured bacterium. RNAcentral describes it as "bacterial SSU rRNA". It matches the Rfam family "Bacterial small subunit ribosomal RNA", at positions 10 to 523 of the family's 1533-position model. The record is from RNAcentral.
AGUUUGAUCCUGGCUCAGAACGAACGCUGGCGGCAGGCUUAACACAUGCAAGUCGAGCGCCCCGCAAGGGGAGCGGCAGACGGGUGAGUAACGCGUGGGAAUCUACCCAUCUCUGCGGAACAACUCCGGGAAACUGGAGCUAAUACCGUAUACGCCCUACGGGGGAAAGAUUUAUCGGGGAAGGAUUGGCCCGCGUUGGAUUAGCUAGUUGGUGGGGUAAAGGCCUACCAAGGCGACGAUCCAUAGCUGGUCUGAGAGGAUGAUCAGCCACAUUGGGACUGAGACACGGCCCAAACUCCUACGGGAGGCAGCAGUGGGGAAUAUUGGACAAUGGGCGCAAGCCUGAUCCAGCCAUGCCGCGUGAGUGAUGAAGGCCUUAGGGUUGUAAAGCUCUUUCACCGGUGAAGAUAAUGACGGUAACCGGAGAAGAAGCCCCGGCUAACUUCGUGCCAGCAGCCGCGGUAA